RNAcentral lists this ribosomal RNA (253 nucleotides) under uncultured bacterium. RNAcentral's name for it is "partial 16S ribosomal RNA". It matches the Rfam family "Bacterial small subunit ribosomal RNA", at positions 524 to 776 of the family's 1533-position model. The record is from RNAcentral.
UACGUAGGGGGCUAGCGUUGUCCGGAUUUAUUGGGCGUAAAGAGCGCGCAGGCGGUCGUUCAAGUCGCGUGUGAAAGCCCCCGGCUCAACUGGGGAGGGUCACGCGAUACUGAUCGACUCGAAGGCAGGAGAGGGAAGUGGAAUUCCCGGUGUAGUGGUGAAAUGCGUAGAUAUCGGGAGGAACACCAGUGGCGAAGGCGACUUCCUGGCCUGUUCUUGACGCUGAGGCGCGAAAGCUAGGGGAGCAAACGGG